RNAcentral lists this ribosomal RNA (527 nucleotides) under uncultured bacterium. RNAcentral describes it as "bacterial SSU rRNA". It matches the Rfam family "Bacterial small subunit ribosomal RNA", at positions 983 to 1509 of the family's 1533-position model. The record is from RNAcentral.
GACAUCCAGCGAACUUGGCAGAGAUGCCUUGGUGCCUUCGGGAACGCUGAGACAGGUGCUGCAUGGCUGUCGUCAGCUCGUGUUGUGAAAUGUUGGGUUAAGUCCGCAACGAGCGCAACCCUUUAUCCUUUUGUUGCCAGCGAUUCGGUCGGGAACUCAAAGGAGACUGCCGGUGAUAAACCGGAGGAAGGUGGGGAUGACGUCAAGUCAUCAUGGCCCUUACGAGUAGGGCUACACACGUGCUACAAUGGCGCAUACAAAAAGAAGCGACCUCGCGAGAGCAAGCGGACCUCAUAAAGUGCGUCGUAGUCCGGAUCGGAGUCUGCAACUCGACUCCGUGAAGUCGGAAUCGCUAGUAAUCGUGGAUCAGAAUGCCACGGUGAAUACGUUCCCGGGCCUUGUACACACCGCCCGUCACACCAUGGGAGUGGGUUGCAAAAGAAGUAGGUAGCUUAACCUUCGGGAGGGCGCUUACCACUUUGUGAUUCAUGACUGGGGUGAAGUCGUAACAAGGUAAGCGUAGCGAG